Non-coding RNA from Meleagris gallopavo (turkey), 502 nucleotides. The record is from RefSeq and is a predicted model, not a curated record. NCBI's taxonomy places the organism in Eukaryota, Metazoa, Chordata, Aves, Galliformes, Phasianidae.
GCUGUCUGUAAUGAGUACUGCUGAGAAACGAGUUGGGUGGGUUUCACUUUGUUGUCCAGGCAGGGACUGACAGAGCUUCCAACCAACCAUUGUGGGAGAGCCAGUAUCAAAGGGAAUGGGCAGUUACACUAUCAGACCCUUCUUGAUUAACUCAUCUGAGGAAUGGAAGGACAACAACGGGGAUAAGAAAAGAUGCUAAGGUCCUGAGCCGUGAUCCUGUGAAAUCCCCGUCCAUGUUCCAAGAUGAACCUAUGGAGACCAUCUUUUCUGGUGUUCUUUGCAGUGACCUCUGAGGGACUGCUCAUAGAGCCCCAGGAGGGCAGUGUUGCUGGAGGAACGUGGAUUACUAUCACUCUGGAUGACUCAGCAUCCCAUGAGCUAGAACAUCUCUCUCCAGCCAGCUGGCCCCACCUGGAGGUAUCCCUGGUGAAUGCAGACCUGCCCAUGUUGCCGUGUGAUGUCUCUCCUGUGUAUUUUGACUUAUCCACCAUAAGAUGUAGAA